GAACUCUUUAUAGGGGCCGCAUACACACCCUAAAUGUCGCCGCACACGGGCCACACGCGACAGGCACAAACGCCGCCACAAGAAGCAAGAAAAGGC
Aricia agestis (brown argus) is the source of this 96-nucleotide long non-coding RNA. RefSeq lists it as uncharacterized. Lineage: Eukaryota; Metazoa; Arthropoda; Insecta; Lepidoptera; Lycaenidae. The record is from RefSeq and is a predicted model, not a curated record. The transcript is spliced from 2 exons.